UCAAUGAUUCGGAUUCAUGUUUUUUUCAGGUAGAUUAUGUUAAAAUGUUAAUACAGAAAGCAGGGGUUGUGGCUGUGCCAGGAUGUGGAUUUUUUCAUACACAUUUGUAUCCGGAGAAAUUUUCUCUGGGAGGUUACAGCUAUCAGGAGAGAUACAUUAGGUUUGCUUUCUGUAAAAGUGAUCAGACUUUGGCUUCUGCUGCAAAAAGAAUUGGGGAGCUUAUUGAUGCUACAGGGUGUCUCAAUCUGCAAUGACUCGGAAGGAAGAAUAACUCAAAUUUGUGUACUUGACAUUGAGAUGAUAUUGGAAGAUAGCACUUCACUGAGAAUAAUGGUAUCCAAGGUGAUGGGGGAGGUGGUGGGGGUGAAGUCAGGGGAGGAACUGCAUAGAACAUGGAGUUUUUGUCAAUACCA
This is a non-coding RNA of Prunus avium (sweet cherry), 413 nucleotides long. Lineage: Eukaryota; Viridiplantae; Streptophyta; Magnoliopsida; Rosales; Rosaceae. The record is from RefSeq and is a predicted model, not a curated record.